Long non-coding RNA from Rhododendron vialii, 2352 nucleotides. RefSeq lists it as uncharacterized. Lineage: Eukaryota; Viridiplantae; Streptophyta; Magnoliopsida; Ericales; Ericaceae. The transcript has 4 exons. The record is from RefSeq and is a predicted model, not a curated record.
GCACGUUUCUCUCCUCCUUUUUCUCUCUCCAGAGUAUCUCUCCCCCAUCUGCUCUCUCUCUCUUUCUCUCUCUGAGAAUACGGACUCCUCCCCGCACUUAGCCGCCGCCUCCCUCCCUUGCACCAGAGGACGGCACCACCGCCGCUCUCCCCGCGCACGCCGAAUAGCCAAUCUCCCCUCUCUCUUCUGUUUUGUUUCUGUUUUCUGAUUACAAAAACCCCUCUCUCUCACUCCCCGCGCCCGCCGAAUCGCCAAGCCUCAUCAACUCCGCCGGGAGUAUAAUCAUCGAGUGUUCAGAGUCUUUCAGACAAACAGAAAAGCAGAUCUGAAAAUGGGUCAAUCAGUGAAACCCAUAUCGAGCCCAGUCCCCGAUGAGUGGUUCCCAACCCUAGCGGUCUUCAUGCUUGCGAUCGGCCUCAUCGUCACCGCUUCUUUCUUUAUGGUUAUGCUUGGGAAAUAACAACUGCUGAAGGUGGCUAUGGUCUAGAUGAACUCUUAAGUAGUCGAAAGAGUGUUCUGACCGGUAUGUGUUUUGUUCCUUACAUUGGGUGCUACUUCUAUUGAGCAUUUUCUCUAUUAGAAAGGCGAAUGGUUGAGAGAGAAUCAUGUUAGUGCCGACUUUUUGAUGGUUUCCGUCUCCAUUCCAUAAUUAUUGAAUCUUAUGUUUGACCACCCGCUAUCUUAAGUCGCGAGACUGCAAUGCAAACCGAAAUCUCCUUCCACAGCUAUUUCACCCCAGCUUUCGCUUGCAAAGAGAUUGAAUGAAAGGAUAUUAGGCUAUAUUGUUUGACCAAAGUUUAGUAAACUGAAAGACAAUUACUUGGGCCCUCCGCUAUUAACAUUUUUUCCCCAUUAUUGAUUCUUUAUUUAUUUCUGAUUAUAUCCUUUGCGCACACAGCUUUUCUAAUGGAGGUACUGUUUUGUUAAAUUUUUGGUAGCUGUAUUCUAAUCUCAUUCUCUAAUCUUUGGUACUGAAGAAAUACAAAAUACCCAAGCAUCUCCCCAAGGUCAAAGUGAUAGCAAUCUAACUCAAGGUAUGUACAAUGAAGAACUACUCUGAUAGAUACAUAGGGAAUCUAGCUACUAUAUAGAUUUUGGCUGAUAGGUGUGGUUGUUAAUGGUGGUAACAAACAUUCAUUGUUAUGGCUUGGUAGGAAAAAAAAAAAAACAACUUAACUGUGACAGAGUUAGAUUGAAUCUUGCGAUCAAAUUAGCUACGUAGCUAUAAGCAAAAAUAAGAGACAUUAAAGGCAUGACAGUUUCACAUACAAAGCUACAUGAGUAGCUACAAAAGAUCUUUUAGAAAAUCAACUGUUCUUAUAGUAUUUUGUGAGAGUUGUCGAUGAUGGUCUGAUUUGGUGAUGAACAAAUGCUAGGAAAGACUUGCUAUUAUUAUUGUGCUUUGUUCGGUUUGGUUGAUCAGUGUGAUAGUAUUACAGAAAAUACCACGACUUGAUUGCUUUUUUUGCCCCAAUAUAGAAACUCUGCUUUUUUUUGCCCCAAACUAUUACUGUAUUCAAUAGUAUAGAGUUUCUAUACGAUUGAAUACAUUGGUUAUAUACGACCUUCAUAACUCAAAAAUUCUACUUUCUCUCUUUGAGUUAUCAGGCUACAUGACUCCCAAAUUUUGUUGAUUGAGGACGAAUCGAACAUUGCGCUCACCCCAGCAAAGAGAACUGCCAAGGGCAACGGAAUCCUACAGAAUAUUUGCCAUCCAAUCAGCUUUAAACAGUUGGAAGCCCCGUAACUUAAGAAGUUGGGCUGCCCGCGGAAUAGAACAUGCUGCUCAGUCGUAUCUAGCUGCAUCAACAUUUGAUUCUCGAUGCAUUUGUGUAGGCAAAUACAGGAUGAGGUUGAAAUAUGAGAAUUGAUUGCUUAUUGAUCAUGUUGGCCAUCGUUGCUGUUGGGAAAGUCGUUCGGCUCGAACCUGGAAAAUUCAGGCAGUGGAAGACUGCAAUGUCUUAGUUGAAACUUUAGAGACUUUCAUCGAGGAGUGGGAAGCAGUUACAGAAAUAUGGCUGUUCCUUGGAGGCAACAUUGAUGGAAAGGAUAAGGGUUUUGAACUUGCAAUCUGGGAGUUGGAUUUAAGAUCUGAAUUACCUAUUUUAUUUAUACCUCACAAAGGAUCGCGAUCAGAAUGCGUUGCGCUGUGCCGCCUUCAGGCACGGGCAUGCACUAGAAAUUGUAUUCAAUUUUCGUUGUAUAUCUAAAGGAGUGUGGUGCUGCUCUUUCUUAGAAAUUGUAUCUUAAAAAUGCUGAAGCUGUAAAUUGGUAGCUGUAAAUUGUAUCUAAAGGGUUCUGUUAUUGUUGCUGUGUUGUGGGAAAAAUGUUUAAACCACGUGCGUUUUUGCC